RNAcentral lists this ribosomal RNA (116 nucleotides) under Callorhinchus environmental sample. Its description in RNAcentral is "partial 12S ribosomal RNA". The record is from RNAcentral. Lineage: Eukaryota; Metazoa; Chordata; Chondrichthyes; Chimaeriformes; Callorhinchidae.
CUAUAUACCGCCGUCGCCAGCUUGCCCUAUGAAGGAAAAACAGCAAGCAUAAAGAAUUACCUCCAAAACGCCAGGUCGAGGUGUAGCAUAUGGGAUGGGAAGAAAUGGGCUACAUU